AGCUUUUUGAAUCCGUGUUGAGAUUUCGUCAGACAUCAACCCAUCGGGGCUGGUCCGACUUUCAAGAUACAUGAGGUU
Molecule: microRNA precursor, 78 nt
Organism: Schistosoma mansoni
Lineage: Eukaryota; Metazoa; Platyhelminthes; Trematoda; Strigeidida; Schistosomatidae
Rfam family: mir-3492 microRNA precursor family
Source: Rfam